This is a long non-coding RNA of Macaca mulatta (Rhesus monkey), 3052 nucleotides long. The record is from Ensembl. Lineage: Eukaryota; Metazoa; Chordata; Mammalia; Primates; Cercopithecidae.
AUGCGCUCAGAGUUCUCUUCCUAUUUUUUUUUUCUCUCCACAUCUCCAUUCCUAGGGAUUUACUUUCAGCUCUGUUCCAGAACAGAUGCUCUUUUCCACUCCCCAGGGACAUCAAGAGCUUGGAGCAGAAAUAAUAGCUCCUCCUUACAAAAAGACAAGAGUGGAGAGAACCACACAAUGUCUUUAACUUUUGGGGGAAGACUCAAGAGCUCUAAGACAAAUAAUUUUAGUCACCUGUCUCUACAGUCUUUGCAUACAUGGAGAUCCAGGGACCCUCUUUUGGGGUAUGGAUCGGGACCAUUUUCUGGUAACAGAACGUCUAGGCCAAGUUGAAAAGAGCGGUGUCUGCAAUGGACCCGGUAUCGAGUACUGAAGCACUGGUACCACGCCACUGAACAUAAGUAAAGGGAAUGAUAAACUCUUCUUUAUUUGUUUAUUCUUUUUUCAUAAAUCACACAUAAAGGUGAAUAAUUCAUUGAUCCUCUUUCAAGAAGCUUAUGAUACAGUGGAGAAAGUAACUCCUAUGUAAAUAUCUCUGGUCUACAGAACAAAGGUUGCAACUGCCAUGAACAAAGAGAGGGAAAAGUUGCUAAAUCCUGAAGAAGCUGGGGUGGGGGUGGGAGGCAGGUGUUAGCUGGGGAAAGGUUCCUGGAGGAAGCACUAGUCUAGUUAGAUCUUAAAGGAUGAGUGGUAGCAGAAUAUUCAGAGGUGGGAGAGAACGGCUCUCUAGUCUGGUGUAGUAAAGCCUGGCCUAUGGAGGGUGCCAUGAAAGAGAAUAACUAUUACAGAGGAACUUCAUGAAUGUGUAAAGAUAAACGAGUUCCAAAUUGGGACGUUUCUUUGAAGAUGGCAGUAAGUAGGGAUGAUCCUGAAAGAGUGUCAUCGCUAGGGGAACUCUACCCAUGUGCAUAGUAGAGUUGCGGAAAUGAGACUUUUUCUGGAAGAGUCCACCUGAAAUGAGUUGACUGAGAUUUGCAUAUGGAAAUAAGCAGCUUGGGUACAACUGAAAUAAUUAAAAGGCUUCCUUUCUCAGCUGUGGGUGUUUUCAUCUCCAUGUCCAACUGUUGGGGGAAGGAAGUGUCUUACUGCUUUGAUUAGUCAGUUUUGGGGCACCCUAAGAAGUGGAGUGCAAAUAGGCAGGGAUAGAGGUGGCGUGUUUCCCAGUUCUCCUGCAAUGCUCAAAUCCAACCCAUUAUUCACCCCAGGAAAGAAGCACCUGAGAUUUCAUGUAAACCAUAAGAGCAACUGCCCUUUGAUGCCUCCAUGGCUCCCAAGAUAACAUCAUUCUGUUGCUGUGACAAAGGCUGGUGAGAAAAGAGAAUUUGGGCAUCUGAAUGCUGGUUUUCAUGUGUCUCAUGUGUUAACCACCUCCUUCAAGUUGUAUACCCUGCCUUUGUUGUUGGUUUGCUCCCCGUGGUUUUGAGAAACCUCUGUCUAUUCUUCUGAUGCUAUUGUGAACGUGGAGCAUUUUGACUUGCUGCUCACAUUCUCCCUUGUCACAGUGGCCAAUAUUCGGUUGUCUCUAUGAUUCCCAUUUUGCUCUGCCUGCGCUGAGAGGUACAGAUGAGUGCCAUAAGUGAGGUUCUUUCUUUUCCUCCCUUCAGAACUUUUUGAUUUGGAGCAAUAAAGCCUCUGAUUCUCGGGUGACAUCUUUAGACAUAGUGUCUGUUUCCUGAAUUCAUCCCUUGUUUCUCACUUUAUUUCUGUCUCGUAUGUUUAGCCUUUCAUUUUCUCAAUAGCUUUUGAAAUAUUUAUGAUGUCUGGAACCUGUUUCUUAGUACUUGCAUCAUGAACAUUCAAAAAGUGCUGUCAUGCUGUGGUAACAAAAAUGUGGAAAAACAUGUCCACAUAGCAGUUACCAAUUUGUGCUCUACAGUUCUUCAGGAUUUUAGUUUACCAGCCACCCACUGUCACCUUUCAUUUUUCUAGGUUCACUGUAGCUUUUCCAUGAUACAACUUUUUGCUGAUUUAUAGCAUCUAAAACAUUCCAGAAGAAUUAAAUGUGUUUCAGAGAGAGAGAGAGAGAGAGAGAGAAACAAAAGCAACAAAAACAAAAAACAGGGGUCUUGCUCUCUUGGGAAAUACAGACAUGGUAAGAAUGAGACUGAUCCUUUUUGUUUGAAGUCAGUUCUCUUCUGGGAUCACUUUAUUGGUUCCAUCUGCAAUUGCUUCUUUUUGCUAAAUGCCUUACUAUUUGAUCAGAAACAGCCUGCUUUUGAUUCAACUGGAAAAUGUGACUGCUUUUGUGCUUAACAUUUAGUUUUGUGUUUUCCUUCUUGUAGCCUCACAUUGGGUUUCAUUCAUCCAUUCAUUUAACAUUUAAGGAACACCCACAGGGGGCCUGGCACCACUCUAGGUUGUGGAAGAAACGGGGAGAAGAGGGUCCUGUCCAGCACAGAGGAGACACAGCUCCUAUAUUCAGUUGUUUGGGAGGCACUUAUUCUUUGUUGGCAUCCUGGAUAAUGAAGACUAUUGAAAGGGGAAGCUCCCUUUAACUUCAAAGGGUGUUUUGUGCAUAUAUGAGGCUCCCUCAGGGGCCAAAGAGAAAUAGAGCUAGGAUUAGAGUGAGAGUGGGUGAAGCUGAGUGUAACAGAGAAAAAGUCGGAUGUUAAAAAUAUCUCAACAGGAAUAAACAAACAGCAUCAGCUGUGUCUUAUUAUAUUGUCGUGAGGACUGUAGAGGGCAGGCAGGGAAGAGAAGUGAAAUAAACACUGAUUAAUAUUCGGGAGGCACAGGGGAUUCACAAUCUAAAUAGAAACAAAGGAAUUAUCUUCGUGCUGCUGGUUUUGGGACCAGCCAGAAAUAGAAGAGUAAGCUGGAACCUCCCAAUGCAUUGAUGGCUGUUAGUAAAUCCGUUCCAGAAGCAGCAAUAUGACUUUUAUAAACCAACAAAUUAUCACAUCACAAAUUAUUUUUUUAUUGCUCUAGGAAGCAACUUACAAUUGCAUCCAAUUGUUACAAAAAGGCAUUACAUUAGUCAAAAAAAAAUGAUUUUUAGAAAUCUACAUUUUCCAAAUCUAUCACGGUAAAUUUCUUAAAAUCCUUUAUUUUU